AGUUGAUCAUGUACCUGAAACACAAGAAAACAUCCAAUCCAUCGGACAACAUCACGAGAUAGUGCAUCAACAAAAUUCAUAUGAACAACAAUAUAGGUUAAUGUGUCAGCAAUAUCCAUAUGAACAACAUGGAACAGUGCUUCAAGAAAAUCCGUAUGGGUUUGUAAACUGUGUGAGUAAAUGCCAUCAAACUUCACUGUAUAGACAGUAUCUAAUAUUUCAUUAGGGUUAUUUUGUUUUUGCCAUUUAAAUUUUGUCCAAAUUUUAAGUUUGGUCUAACAUUUGUCCAGUUUGGUGUUAGGAAUCUGAAGUAGAUGUUGACCUAGGUUAAGUAUAAUUUUAAUUUAGUUAAAUCAAUAUUUUUAUAUUAAUUUUCUCAGCCGUUGAUUUUACAUAAACGUGGACGGCCAUAAAUAUUUAGCCACAUAAUCUGAAGAUCUUUCGUUCCUUCUUCAUUAUCCUCCUUUUUUCCCCCAGACCGAAAGAUGUUCACCAUUUUUUUCCUUCUUCAAAUAAACAUAAGAGGCGGUAUUGUUCCUGUUAAGCUUGCCGGCGACUAAAGAUUUCGCAAAUCAUUCACCUUCGUCUAAUUUGGUGUUGAUCGAAGAGGUGAUAAAUGAAGAACUUAUUUACCGAUCAAAAAAAAAAAAGAACUUAAAAGUGAAUCCUAGCUAAUUACUCAAAAUUAUGAUCUGAUGAAUUGAAAUGGAAUUAGGUUUAAUUUUUGUUAAUAGAUCAAAGGGGUUUCUUCUAAACCAGUCGUUUUUGACGAAAUAGGUGUAAUUCAAAGGAAUUGAAUUGUUUGAUCAAAGAUUUGGGGUUCUGAAAAAUCAAUUAUUGUUGUUUUGGUGUAUCAUUUUAUACAUAUUUGUGGGUUACGUUCCUAUAGAUUGAUUUCUGUCUAGAUGGAAUGCAAAUUAAUCAAUUUACAGACGAAGAUUAGCCAUGGGAUGCGAAAACAAUGGGAAUGGGUAUGAAGUGGAGUCUAUUGUUAAUGAAGAUCAGGAAUUGAUGAUCUCAUGUGAUGAUGAUGGUGGUGGUGAAGAGGGGAACUGACUGCUGCAGCAAAUAUUCAUCAAUGGAGUUUGGGGUUUCUGCGGAUGGAAGGGAUACCCAACGGCAAAGCUUCGCAGGCGGGUUUAGUGGUGGUUCAUUUACAGAAUGGAUGCUUGAUGGACUUCCACAUUGAUGAAUAUUUUCUUUUAAAGGUUUCAGAAAGACCGGAACUUUAUAUAUAAAGUUAUUAAGAAGAUUACAUUUUAAAAGUUAUUUUCUGCCUGGGAAUGAUGAUGCAAGGGUAUGGCAUUCAGCCUAACACAUAACAGAAAAGUUGUUUUCUAUCUGAUUCAUACUUUCGGCAACAUUUUAUCAUGUUUCUAUUUUUUAGCUGAUUACUUUUGUACUUGUCAAAAUGAAAAAUCGAUCACCUCUACGAUUUUUAUUGACGGCCAAGUUCUUGUCCGUGUUUCCAGGCCACCAACGUUUCGCGCAGGAUUUUCAUUAGUUACUUGCUCAUGAUUUCCCAUGCCAUUGCGGCUUCAUUAAUGCCUCAAGAGGAGAUUAGGCUUUAUCAAGAAUUUACAAGUAGGGAUUUAUUUUUUCUUUUUCUUUCGUAUUCUUUGUUAAAUGAAAAACCAAAAAGGAAGGAGAGAUUUUAAGUUCAAAUUAAUGGAGCGAAGGUCAAGGAAAUGCACUAUUUCAACAAAAGGGGCGGGUAGAGUUAGAAACGUUAAAAAGAGGCAAAUAUGUGCGUGUUGGACUCGGUGUGACUCACCGAGUUAACUAAACCCGUUUUUGUCUAACCUAUACCCUCCUGGUCGAGUUAGCUUAGCUACCCUGGUUAGGUUAGGUUAAAUCAUCUGGUUAGGCUCUUCGCGACGAGAUCAAAAACUAUAACUCAUCACCUACAACGGACACAGCUGCAUUGUUCUUCUUCGGUAGGAAAGUAAAGUUCCACAACUUGCUAAUGAAGGUGUUGGACUCUGGUACUUCUGCCUUAACGCUGCACAUGGAAUGGAGUGGUAGUGUUGCCCCCAGUGAAGC
Molecule: long non-coding RNA, 2043 nt
Organism: Papaver somniferum (opium poppy)
Lineage: Eukaryota; Viridiplantae; Streptophyta; Magnoliopsida; Ranunculales; Papaveraceae
Exons: 3
Source: RefSeq, a predicted model, not a curated record